Molecule: long non-coding RNA, 1007 nt
Filed under: Homo sapiens (human)
Lineage: Eukaryota; Metazoa; Chordata; Mammalia; Primates; Hominidae
Description: HSALNT0291309
Source: RNAcentral
ACACUUCCAUCAAACAGUACCUGCCCCUUAGGUGUGCUAGGGAAUAAAUGAAAUGCCUGGGACAUCAUCGUUAAGUGGCAUCUGAUGCAUAAGCAGUGCCCUAGGAAUGGGGUUGCCUGCCUUGGUCUCUAAAGGAUGGGUUCAAAAGGCAAGAGCAGCACACAAGAAGAUAGCUUCAAGCAGGAGAUAAAGCUUGGCCCAGGGCCCAAAGGGGAUACGACCCUUCAGGUUGGCCCUGACCUCUGGGUUGGAUUACCAGUGACACAAUGAACAUUUCAUUAUGAGGCCAUCCCUUGAGCAAACUGACAUGCUGAAAGCUGCCCUAUGGAGAGGCUCAUGUGGCAAGGAACAGAGGGUGGCUUCUGGCCAACACCCAGUGAGGAACUCAGGCCCUCAGUCAAACAGCCUGCAAGGAACUGAACCCUGCCAAUAACCAGGCAGUGUCAGCCCCCGGCCAAUGACCACCAUGGACCUCCCUGUAGUUGAACAAAGUUGGGUUUGCUGACUGGUGGCAGUGAGGGAGAAUGCACACCACAGGGAGCUGUGCAGUGUCUCAGUAAGAAGGAGCCAUCCCGUGAGGCCGUUACUGCAAACAAGCUGAAAAUCCUGCUUUGUUUCUUUUGGACACAACAUGCUUUCCUUCAGCUUCAGUAGACGAUGAGGCCAGCACCACAUGGGCUAGAUGUACAUGAGAUGUGAGCAACCACACUUCCCCUCUGACGGGGACAGACAGCAUCACAGGACAUGAAGUUCUAAGAGGUUCAGUGACUUGUCUAAGAUUAAACAGCUAUGAAUGGAGAACUGGAGGCAAAUGCCUCAUCAUCUCUCACCUGGGCAACUGCAACAAUGAGCAGUUUGUGUCUGUGCCUGCAUCCAUCCUUCCAUCCUGUACUCCAGCAGCAGCCAGGGUGGUCUUUCAAAAAUGCAAAGCUGAUAAUGUUACUCCCCUGCUGUAAACCUUCCAGCGGUUUCCUAUUGCCUUCAGAAUAAAAUACGAAUCAUCUGGC